UGAGUCAUUCGGGUGACCGCAGUGCAGAGAUGCAUUGAGGAAAGUCGGGACUUCACAGGGCACAGUGCUGGCGAGAGCCAGGUCGGGGCGACCUGACGGACAGUGCAACAGAGAGCAAACCGCCGAUGGAUGGAGACAUCACAGGCAAGGGUGAAACGGUGCGGUAAGAGCGCACCAGCACCGGCAGCGAUGCCGGUGGCUAGGUAAACCCCACUGGAAGCAAGGCCAAGCAGGGGGUGGGCUGCCCGCCCGCCGUACGGCAACCCCCGGGUAGGCCGCAGAGAUGGAUGGUCACCACCCACCUCGUGGGCACAGAAUCCCGCUUACAGAAUGGCUCACCGU
Molecule: RNase P RNA, 342 nt
Filed under: Ilumatobacteraceae bacterium
Lineage: Bacteria; Bacillati; Actinomycetota; Acidimicrobiia; Acidimicrobiales; Ilumatobacteraceae
Also listed under: 1 other name
Description: RNase P RNA component class A
Rfam family: Bacterial RNase P class A
About the family: Ribonuclease P (RNase P) is a ubiquitous endoribonuclease, found in archaea, bacteria and eukarya as well as chloroplasts and mitochondria. Its best characterised activity is the generation of mature 5'-ends of tRNAs by cleaving the 5'-leader elements of precursor-tRNAs.
Source: RNAcentral